UAUAUUUUAGUGUACUCAUUAAAAACUUUGAAUUUUUAGAAAAUAAAUUUUUAUUUAUUAAAUAUAA
This 67-nucleotide transfer RNA is filed under the name Scelio sp. ZJUH_2016028. Its description in RNAcentral is "tRNA-Gln". Lineage: Eukaryota; Metazoa; Arthropoda; Insecta; Hymenoptera; Scelionidae. The record is from RNAcentral.